CUCGCCAAUACAAAAUAUUGCAAAGUGUAUUGGCGGGCUGUAAACAGCGGGGGAGGGGAUGGCUUGAUUCUAGAAGAGAAUCAUUGCGUUAAUGCUUCGUCGAUCAAACUCGACAAGGAGGAAGACUCGCUCCUUGUCGAGUUCGCCGGCGAGCCCAAGCAGGUCGUCUAAGCUGGGCUCGCCGGCUAAGCCCUUUCUCGGUCGUCUGGAUGGAUGUCUGGUUUUAUCCCUUGCGGAGGACGCCCCGCUCGCUUGUUCGAGCGUCGUAAUGAGUCCUCUCAGGGUUGUAAUUGUCGAAUACCUUACGCAGC
This 311-nucleotide unclassified non-coding RNA is filed under the name Rhodotorula toruloides. The record is from RNAcentral. Lineage: Eukaryota; Fungi; Basidiomycota; Microbotryomycetes; Sporidiobolales; Sporidiobolaceae.